This 247-nucleotide long non-coding RNA is filed under the name Medicago truncatula (barrel medic). RNAcentral describes it as "lncRNA gene36182". Lineage: Eukaryota; Viridiplantae; Streptophyta; Magnoliopsida; Fabales; Fabaceae. The record is from RNAcentral.
GUUUGAGCCUGCUGUUAAGCCCCCACGUGACAUUACAAAGAUUAUGAAACGUUUGUUUCAAGGGACUUGGGCAACUUAUGGAGAGUUAAUGAAAAAAGACACGGCUCUUGCGGACUUGUGGUAUAACGAGUUUCAGGAUAUAUAAGUGGCUUCCUGAGCAUGAUCAAGACAUAAAGAAGACUUAUCAUCAUAAGGCAUCUGAUGGGUACCAAAAUACAAUGUAUCGGGUACGAAGAGGAAUGGACAA